This 229-nucleotide ribosomal RNA is filed under the name uncultured bacterium. RNAcentral's name for it is "partial 16S ribosomal RNA". It matches the Rfam family "Bacterial small subunit ribosomal RNA", at positions 568 to 796 of the family's 1533-position model. The record is from RNAcentral.
UCCGUAGGCGGGUCGAUAAGUCAGAGGUGAAAUCCCACAGCUUAACUGUGGAACUGCCUUUGAUACUGUUGGUCUUGAGUUAUAUGGAAGUAGAUAGAAUGUGUAGUGUAGCGGUGAAAUGCAUAGAGAUUACACAGAAUACCGAUUGCGAAGGCAGUCUACUACGUAUAUACUGACGCUAAUGGACGAAAGCGUGGGGAGCGAACAGGAUUAGAUACCCUGGUAGUCC